RNAcentral lists this ribosomal RNA (506 nucleotides) under uncultured bacterium. RNAcentral describes it as "partial 16S ribosomal RNA". It matches the Rfam family "Bacterial small subunit ribosomal RNA", at positions 29 to 523 of the family's 1533-position model. The record is from RNAcentral.
AGUGAACGCUGGCGGUAGGCCUAACACAUGCAAGUCGAACGGCAGCACAGAGGAGCUUGCUCCUUGGGUGGCGAGUGGCGGACGGGUGAGGAAUACAUCGGAAUCUACUCUGUCGUGGGGGAUAACGUAGGGAAACUUACGCUAAUACCGCAUACGACCUACGGGUGAAAGCAGGGGAUAUUCGGACCUUGCGCGAUUGAAUGAGCCGAUGUCGGAUUAGCUAGUUGGCGGGGUAAAGGCCCACCAAGGCGACGAUCCGUAGCUGGCCUGAGAGGAUGAUCAGCCACACUGGAACUGAGACACGGUCCAGACUCCCACGGGAGGCAGCAGUGGGGAAUAGUGGACAAUGGGCGCAAGCCUGAUCCAGCCACACCGGGUGGGUGAAGAAGGCCUUCGGGUUGUAAAGCCCUUUUGUUGGGAAAGAAAUCCAGCUGGCUAAUACCCGGUUGGGAUGACGGUACCCAAAGAAUAAGCACCGGCUAACUUCGUGCCAGCCGCCGCAGUAA